RNAcentral lists this ribosomal RNA (254 nucleotides) under uncultured bacterium. RNAcentral's name for it is "partial 16S ribosomal RNA". It matches the Rfam family "Bacterial small subunit ribosomal RNA", at positions 524 to 776 of the family's 1533-position model. The record is from RNAcentral.
UACGAAGGGGGGCUAGCGUUGCUCGGAAUCACUGGGCGUAAAGCGCACGUAGGCGGACUCUUAAGUCGGUGGUGAAAUCCUGGAGCUCAACUCCAGAACUGCCUUCGAUACUGAGAGUCUCGAGUCCGGGAGAGGUGAGUGGAACUGCGAGUGUAGAGGUGAAAUUCGUAGAUAUUCGCAAGAACACCAGUGGCGAAGGCGGCUCACUGGCCCGGUACUGACGCUGAGGUGCGAAAGCGUGGGGAGCAAACAGG